UAGGGAAUCUUCGGCAAUGGGGGCAACCCUGACCGAGCAACGCCGCGUGAGUGAAGAAGGUUUUCGGAUCGUAAAGCUCUGUUGUAAGUCAAGAACGGGUGUGAGAGUGGAAAGUUCACACUGUGACGGUAGCUUACCAGAAAGGGACGGCUAACUACGUGCCAGCAGCCGCGGUAAUACGUAGGUCCCGAGCGUUGUCCGGAUUUAUUGGGCGUAAAGCGAGCGCAGGCGGUUUGAUAAGUCUGAAGUUAAAGGCUGUGGCUCAACCAUAGUUCGCUUUGGAAACUGUCAAACUUGAGUGCAGAAGGGGAGAGUGGAAUUCCAUGUGUAGCGGUGAAAUGCGUAGAUAUAUGGAGGAACACCGGUGGCGAAAGCGGCUCUCUGGUCUGUAACUGACGCUGAGGCUCGAAAGCGUGGGGAGCGAACAGGAUUAGAUACCCUGGUAGUCCACGCCGUAAACGAUGAGUGCUAGGUGUUGG
RNAcentral lists this ribosomal RNA (479 nucleotides) under uncultured bacterium. Its description in RNAcentral is "partial 16S ribosomal RNA". It matches the Rfam family "Bacterial small subunit ribosomal RNA", at positions 355 to 826 of the family's 1533-position model. The record is from RNAcentral.